Molecule: long non-coding RNA, 2514 nt
Organism: Brassica napus (rape)
Lineage: Eukaryota; Viridiplantae; Streptophyta; Magnoliopsida; Brassicales; Brassicaceae
Exons: 2
Source: RefSeq, a predicted model, not a curated record
AGCAUUAUAAAACACAUAGCAGAAAAAAUCUGAUAUUCCUUGUCGAGAAUUCCUUAUCACACACACACACACACACACACAUAUAUAUAUAUAUAUAAACACGACUUCAUGGAUCUAUAGAAAUGAAGAUUAACAUGUAAGCUCACUAGUUCCAGGGCUUCUCUCUAUUGGCAGGUCCCUUAUUUUCACACACAUACACGCACACAUAUACGCCCACACAUACACAUAUAUUCAUGUUAUAUCAAAAGUCAAAAAUGAUCUGCCAAAGGAGAGUUGCCCUGCAACUAGUUUUAGCUUAGUUACACUGAUGAUAAAGGGGAAACCAAAGACUAUGCAAUUUCUUGCAGAUUAUAUGAUGCAGAGCUUAUUGGAAGUUCCAUAGUACUGUAGGCAGAACCGUUCGUUGUGGUCGUUUGCUGCAGAGAUAUCCAGUCCAUCGAAGACGUCGUACAUGCAGAACCGUCCGUCGAUCCAAGUGUUUCGAGGAGAGCUUUAUCGUGGAAUCCUUAUCCGUAGAGCUGUUCAUCAAUAUUGCAUAUGUUGCAGGUAGUUGAUCAUCAUAUCUAAUAGAAUUAGAGAUUAUAUGAUGAUGUAAUGUGUUACCCAGUGUUAAAAAAAAAAAUUGGUAACUUGGUAAUAUAUUUUUGUUGUUAGUAUACCUCAUUAGGUAGUUGUUUUUUUUAAUUUGUUAAUUUGAUAUUUGUCGUUGUGAUUAGUAACCUCUACAUGAGCUACCAUUGUAAAUUGUAAUGCGCAUACAAAAAGAAAACUGAAGCACAAGUGAGGCUUAAUUACCUGCAAGAUCUAAAACAAAGCUUCCUGAUACGUUUUAUUAUUUCAUUCUUCUCACCGAAAAUUAGUAGCUAGUUAAAAUAAUUUAACAAGAUGAUUAGUUUUGUAGCUUUCUGCCUUUAAUUUGUGUUCUUUGUUAAAUCAGAUACAUUAAUUUGCAAAGAUAUCAAAGUAUAAAUUCAAUAUAUACACUAAAGGGCCACAUAAAAAGGCUUUAAAAGCUCAAAUCCAAGGUUCUUAAGACUUUAGAUCUCAUGCAUCUCAUGCCAAUAAUAGGCAGUCAGACCGAGAAACCUUGAUUAUCAAUAUUCUGCCGUUUUCUUUCUUCAAGUUAUUUUGUAGAACUAUGUGAUUUGUUAUUCGAUAUGUUAUUUCGAUGAAACAUUAUGAUCCAAUUAUACAAAGUGAAAGGAAGAAUGGUUGAAUCCACAUGAAAACUGUAUGAAAGAAAAUGGAAGAUAUGCAGGCUGUUGUGCUUUUAGCCUUUAAUUUUUAGUGCCCUUUUUUCUUCAUUCUAACCUUCCUGCGAAAUUAACCAGCAUGUGAACUCCUGUGUUUUCUUUUUUAUCCUCUUUAACUCCCACAGUCAAGAUCAAUUUCGAAAUACGACAAGUCGACAAGGAAGAUUUCAUAUGCAAGAAGCUUAGUCAAAUUUGCCGAAUGCUGGAAUCAAGUGAAUCCCAAAGUGCACAAUCAACCUAAAAGACAAAGAAAAAUGGAAAAACCAAGAGAAGAUGUUCAACUGAUUUUGGGUUGUACAGCAAAUGAUCAAGUCUCUCAUAUUGAUACAUAAACACAUAUAAGUGGUGUGGUCAUCAUUCCUUUACGUUCCUUGCCUUGCAAGAUACCUUAUUACAAGUUAUUUUUUUUCUUGCACACAAAUGAUUUUUGUGUUCAGUAAGAAGACAAGAUCAUAAAUAUCUGUAGCUUUUUUAUCUAUCUUAUUUUUCGGAUAACUGCCAGAGCUAGCUAUUUGAGCUGCACUGUUAAUAUAAUCUUCCAUGACUGAUAAGAGGAGAAACUAUAAUUGGGAAUCAACAGAGUGAAGAAAAAUACAUAAAAGAAUAGCAGAUAAAUUUUGCAAGUCUCUUACAAUAUCGAACUAGCUGUUUGGACGAAUGGUGAGGCAUAAAGAAUUAGCGAGAAGAUAUGUACAUAGAUAGUACUUCAUAAAAUGUUAAGAAAUACAGCCAACAACUUUGAUUCCGAAACAUGUUGGGAACAUGUAUACCUCGUCUCUCUAUGCUGCUUUAGCUUCCUUGAUCCACAACAAAAACCGUAAUUAAGAUGGUAAAUAAAUAUUCCAUCAACUCUUGAAUUCUUUUUCAAGUUUCAAAAAUCCUAACAAUCAAUCGUUCUUGAUCUUGAAAAUUGCUGCCGAGGAAGCUAGUGGUAAUGCUCUGAUUAACAAAUGCUUUAAAUUAACAAUAUCAAAGAAAAAUAACGGUUGCUUACCGAUGAUUGAUUAACAAAGAUAAGUUUAAAUUAUUUUUGAAUUAAAGGAAAAUUCAAAUGAUACAUUUUUAUUUGUAACAAAAGGUUCAUUUAAACAAACAAUACAACAACAUUGGGAUAAUAAAACAAGAAAAUACAAAAACAAAACACACAACAACUUUCUUUUGGUUUGAUAAUUGUUUUUAGUGUUUAAGAACCGUUACCUUAACAAAGAACACCUUCGGCAGCAUCUUAAGCUUUAACUCCAGUCUUCUUGUUCGGCUCAAA